GCCUUCGUGGUGUAACGGUUAGCACACUCGACGCGUAUUCGAGAGGUCCAGGUUCGAGUCCGCGAUGAGGGCA
Molecule: non-coding RNA, 73 nt
Organism: Stegodyphus mimosarum
Lineage: Eukaryota; Metazoa; Arthropoda; Arachnida; Araneae; Eresidae
Source: Rfam